RNAcentral lists this ribosomal RNA (253 nucleotides) under uncultured bacterium. RNAcentral describes it as "partial 16S ribosomal RNA". It matches the Rfam family "Bacterial small subunit ribosomal RNA", at positions 524 to 776 of the family's 1533-position model. The record is from RNAcentral.
GACGAACCGUGCGAACGUUGUUCGGAUUCACUGGGCUUAAAGGGCGCGUAGGCGGCUUGCCAAGUCAGGGGUGAAAUCUUUCGGCUCAACCGGAAAACGGCCCCUGAUACUGGCGGGCUGGAGGAGGGUAGGGGCAGAUGGAACUUCCGGUGGAGCGGUGAAAUGCGUAGAUAUCGGAAAGAACACCAACGGCGAAAGCACUCUGCUGGGCCGACACUGACACUGAGAGACGAAAGCUAGGGGAGCAAAUGGG